This 99-nucleotide non-coding RNA is filed under the name Candidatus Endoriftia persephone str. Hot96_1+Hot96_2. The record is from RNAcentral. Lineage: Bacteria; Pseudomonadati; Pseudomonadota; Gammaproteobacteria; Chromatiales; Sedimenticolaceae.
GGCCCCUCAGCAGGCUGCGGCUGACGCUCAGGUUGAGCGGAGCGCUGUCGCCUUGGCGAGAAGCAAAGCCAGUGCCGGUGCCUGCGCCUAUUUGGGCGU